RNAcentral lists this ribosomal RNA (254 nucleotides) under uncultured bacterium. RNAcentral's name for it is "partial 16S ribosomal RNA". It matches the Rfam family "Bacterial small subunit ribosomal RNA", at positions 524 to 776 of the family's 1533-position model. The record is from RNAcentral.
UACGUAGGGGGGCAAGCGUUGUCCGGAAUCAUUGGGCGUAAAGAGCGUGUAGGCGGCCCGGUAAGUCCGCUGUGAAAGUCCAGGGCUCAACCCUGGGAUGCCGGUGGAUACUGUCGGGCUCGAGUCCGGAAGAGGAGUGUGGAAUUCCUGGUGUAGCGGUGAAAUGCGCAGAUAUCAGGAGGAACACCAAUGGCGAAGGCAGCACUCUGGGACGUGACUGACGCUGAGACGCGAAAGCGUGGGGAGCAAACAGG